AGCGAGGUAUGGAGUUCUUACUGUGAAAGCAGAUUGGUAGGAACUUCAUACCAUGCUCG
RNAcentral lists this microRNA precursor (59 nucleotides) under Parasteatoda tepidariorum (common house spider). RNAcentral describes it as "microRNA pte-mir-276 precursor (pte-mir-276-1)". Its record names the gene pte-mir-276-1. The record is from miRBase by way of RNAcentral. Lineage: Eukaryota; Metazoa; Arthropoda; Arachnida; Araneae; Theridiidae.